AACGAACGCUGGCGGCAUGCCUAACACAUGCAAGUCGAACGAGACCUUCGGGUCUAGUGGCGCACGGGUGCGUAACGCGUGGGAACCUGCACUUAUGUUCGGAAUAACUCCCCGAAAGGGGUGCUAAUACCGGAUAAUGUCUUCGGACCAAAGAUUUAUCGACUUUGGUUGGGCCCGCGUUGGAUUAGCUAGUUGGUAGGGUAAAAGACUACCAAGGCGACGAUCCAUAGCUGGUCUGAGAGGAUGAUCAGCCACACUGGGACUGAGACACGGCCCAGAAUCCUACGGGAGGCAGCAAUGGGUAAUAUUGGAAAAUGGGCGAAAGCCUGAUCCAGCAAUGCCGCGUGAGUGAUGAAAGCCUUAGGGUUGUAAAGCUCUUUUACCCGGGAUGAUAAUGACAGUACCGGGAGAAUAAGCUCCGGCUAACUCCGUG
RNAcentral lists this ribosomal RNA (433 nucleotides) under uncultured bacterium. RNAcentral's name for it is "partial 16S ribosomal RNA". It matches the Rfam family "Bacterial small subunit ribosomal RNA", at positions 29 to 507 of the family's 1533-position model. The record is from RNAcentral.